UACGAAGGGGGCUAGCGUUGUUCGGAAUUACUGGGCGUAAAGCGCGCGCAGGCGGCUUCUCAAGUCAGGGGUGAAAGCCCAGAGCUCAACUCUGGAACUGCCCUUGAAACUAGGAAGCUUGAGUACGGUAGAGGUGAGUGGAAUUCCCAGUGUAGAGGUGAAAUUCGUAGAUAUUGGGAAGAACACCGGUGGCGAAGGCGGCUCACUGGACCGUUACUGACGCUCAGGCGCGACAGCGUGGGGAUCAAACAGG
Molecule: ribosomal RNA, 253 nt
Filed under: uncultured bacterium
Lineage: Bacteria
Description: partial 16S ribosomal RNA
Rfam family: Bacterial small subunit ribosomal RNA
Source: RNAcentral